GGCUGACUAAACCCUUUGGCGGAAUGAAAGUAAGAAGAAGCGCGUUCUCGCGAGUGCGCGGCUGAUCCUCUUUGGGGGGAGUAUUCUCCCUUUUGAGGCGCAAGCUGAGGGCCUGUCGAUGUCGGUUGAUGUCUGCGAGGCGGUGGUGUUUACAUUUGCCGUAUUUUCCGGUCGAUCGGCCGGCAGGCACCUUUAGCGUAAAUGUUAGUACCCGAAAGAUGGUGAUCUAUGCUUGGCUAGAACGAAGCUGGGGGAAACUCUGGUGGAAGUUCGUAGCGGUUCUGACGUGCAAAUCGAUCGUCGGAGCUGAGUAUAGGGGCGAAAGACCAAUCGAACUAUCUAGUAGCUGGUUCCCUCCGAAGUUUCCCUCAGGAUAGCUGGCUCUCGGAGUAGUUUCACCCGGUAAAGAGAAUGAUCAGGGGUCCUUGGGGAUAAACCUUCCUCAGCCCGUCCUCAAACUCUAAAUGGGUGAGAAGCCGGGCUUUCGUAAAAAGAAGCCACGGCAUCGAAUAAAAUGAGAGCCCAGUGGGCCAUUUUUGGUAAGCAGAACUGGCGAUGUGGGAUGAACCAAACGUUCGAGUUAAGGGGCCAAAAUGUCGGUCAAUUAGAUACCGUUAAAGGCGUUGGUCGCUCAUGACAGCAGGUCGGUGGCCCUGGAAGUCGGCAUCCGCUAAGGAGUGUGU
RNAcentral lists this ribosomal RNA (683 nucleotides) under Campylaspis sulcata. RNAcentral describes it as "partial large subunit ribosomal RNA". It matches the Rfam family "Eukaryotic large subunit ribosomal RNA", at positions 696 to 1283 of the family's 3401-position model. Lineage: Eukaryota; Metazoa; Arthropoda; Malacostraca; Cumacea; Nannastacidae. The record is from RNAcentral.